AUUGAACGCUGGCGGCAGGCCUAACACAUGCAAGUCGAGCGGAUGAAGGGAGCUUGCUCCUGGAUUCAGCGGCGGACGGGUGAGUAAUGCCUAGGAAUCUGCCUGGUAGUGGGGGAUAACGUCCGGAAACGGGCGCUAAUACCGCAUACGUCCUGAGGGUGAAAGUGGGGGAUCUUCGGACCUCACGCUAUCAGAUGAGCCUAGGUCGGAUUAGCUAGUUGGUGGGGUAAAGGCCUACCAAGGCGACGAUCCGUAACUGGUCUGAGAGGAUGAUCAGUCACACUGGAACUGAGACACGGUCCAGACUCCUACGGGAGGCAGCAGUGGGGAAUAUUGGACAAUGGGCGAAAGCCUGAUCCAGCCAUGCCGCGUGUGUGAAGAAGGUCUUCGGAUUGUAAAGCACUUUAAGUUGGGAGGAAGGGCAGUAAGUUAAUACCUUGCGGUUUUGACGGUACCAAAAGAAUAAGCACCGGCUAACUACGUG
RNAcentral lists this ribosomal RNA (484 nucleotides) under uncultured bacterium. Its description in RNAcentral is "partial 16S ribosomal RNA". It matches the Rfam family "Bacterial small subunit ribosomal RNA", at positions 30 to 507 of the family's 1533-position model. The record is from RNAcentral.